UCUUUUCGAGCAGUUUAUUGGCUUUUCUCCACUUGUGGAACUUACCAAACAAGACCUCCAUAUCUUCAAGGGUUCUGCCUUGUGUUUCCGGGAGCAUCGUAAAAAAGAAGAUCCAACCAACAGUGCCGAUGGCCGCAUAAAGAAAGAAGGUACCACCCAUUGUGAUGGCCUUAUACAACGAAAUGAAGGUCAUUGAGAGGAUGCCACUCAUCAACCUAUUCACGGCCACUCCCAUACCACACCCUUGAGCCCGCAGCCUCAACGGGAAGAUCUCAGAGCUGUACACCCAGGCAAUGGGCCCAAUCCCACUUGAGAAGAACCCGACAUAGGCUAAUACGCAGCACAAGCACAAAAUAACUGCCCACGUCAUUCUAACCCCUUCGUGUUGAUCAACAAUGGUAAGGCUUGUACCAAGACACACCAGGGCACCUACC
Molecule: long non-coding RNA, 434 nt
Filed under: Malus domestica (apple)
Lineage: Eukaryota; Viridiplantae; Streptophyta; Magnoliopsida; Rosales; Rosaceae
Description: long non-coding RNA (MDOM_LNC004529)
Source: RNAcentral